Molecule: small nuclear RNA, 107 nt
Organism: Ahaetulla prasina
Lineage: Eukaryota; Metazoa; Chordata; Lepidosauria; Squamata; Colubridae
Source: RefSeq, a predicted model, not a curated record
GUGCUCACUUCGGCAACAUAUAUACUAAAAUCGGAACAAUACAGAGAAGAUUAGCAUGGCUCCUGCGCAAAGAUGGCACGCAAAUUCGUGAAGCAUUCCAUAUUUGA